GGGUCUGCGUCUCAUUAGCUUGUUGGCGGGGUAACGGCCCACCAAGGCAACGAUGGGUAGCCGAUUUGAGAGGAUGAUCGGCCACACUGGAACUGAAACACGGUCCAGACUCCUACGGGAGGCAGCAGUGGGGAAUAUUGCGCAAUGGGCGAAAGCCUGACGCANCGACGCCNNNUGAGGGAUGAAGGUUUUCGGAUCGUAAACCUCUGUCAGAAGGGAAGAAACUACRUUGUGCUAAUCAGCAGCGUACUGACGGUACCUUCAAAGGAAGCACCGGCUAACUCCGUGCCAGCGGCCGCGGYAAUACGGAGGGKGYGAGGGU
Molecule: ribosomal RNA, 322 nt
Filed under: uncultured delta proteobacterium
Lineage: Bacteria; Deltaproteobacteria
Description: partial 16S ribosomal RNA
Rfam family: Bacterial small subunit ribosomal RNA
Source: RNAcentral